UCUCUAAGCAAUGGAUGUCUUGGCUCCUCACACGAUGAAGAACGUGGCAUAAUGUGUUAAGUAACCGGAGUUGCAUACAUCAUGACAGGUUAAUCUUUGAAUGCAAAUUGCGCUAAACUCGGCUUCGGCUGAGAAGCAUGCGUGUAACAGUACAACAUAAUUUAUAA
RNAcentral lists this ribosomal RNA (167 nucleotides) under Trichomonas sp. RNAcentral's name for it is "5.8S ribosomal RNA". It matches the Rfam family "5.8S ribosomal RNA". From Rfam's summary of the family: 5.8S ribosomal RNA (5.8S rRNA) is a component of the large subunit of the eukaryotic ribosome. It is transcribed by RNA polymerase I as part of the 45S precursor that also contains 18S and 28S rRNA. Functionally, it is thought that 5.8S rRNA may be involved in ribosome translocation. Lineage: Eukaryota; Parabasalia; Trichomonadida; Trichomonadidae. The record is from RNAcentral.